AUAAGGAUUAAAUCCAUGCGCCACCUCUUGGAAGCGCCCCUUUGAAAUUUCAAAUGGGGAGAUAAGUUUUAAAUUAUCCACGCCCCUUAAUCUCUUGCGCCAUUCUUCAAGUUGGCACCAUCUAUCUUGGCCAUUGGAUGGGCUUCCUUCCAGAUCCAAAGGCAUGGGUUGAUGGUGCCAAUAAGAGAAGCUUUGUGACUUCUCAUCUGAACACCGUAAGUUAAGAUCGAAGAAUCUUUCUGAAAUAAGGCAUCUCUUCAACCCAACUUUGAUGUACACAUGGCAUUUCUUAAUUUAUGGGGCAUGAGAAAUAGACAAGAGG
This 322-nucleotide long non-coding RNA is filed under the name Elaeis guineensis (African oil palm). Its description in RNAcentral is "long non-coding RNA (EGUI_LNC071933)". The record is from RNAcentral. Lineage: Eukaryota; Viridiplantae; Streptophyta; Magnoliopsida; Arecales; Arecaceae.